Molecule: transfer RNA, 67 nt
Filed under: bovine gut metagenome
Rfam family: tRNA
About the family: Transfer RNA (tRNA) molecules are approximately 80 nucleotides in length.
Source: RNAcentral
UGGUGUGGCUCAGUUGGUAGAGCGAUUGAUUCGUAAUCAAUAGACCACGGGUUCGAGUCCCGUCACC